This 956-nucleotide ribosomal RNA is filed under the name bacterium enrichment culture clone PCE9_C10. Its description in RNAcentral is "bacterial SSU rRNA". It matches the Rfam family "Bacterial small subunit ribosomal RNA", at positions 46 to 1010 of the family's 1533-position model. The record is from RNAcentral.
GCUUACACAUGCAGUCGAACGGAAAGGCCCUGCUUUUGUGGGGUGCUCGAGUGGCGAACGGGUGAGUAACACGUGAGUAACCUGCCCUUGACUUUGGGAUAACUUCAGGAAACUGGGGCUAAUACCGGAUAGGAGCUCCUGCUGCAUGGUGGGGGUUGGAAAGUUUCGGCGGUUGGGGAUGGACUCGCGGCUUAUCAGCUUGUUGGUGGGGUAGUGGCUUACCAAGGCUUUGACGGGUAGCCGGCCUGAGAGGGUGACCGGCCACAUUGGGACUGAGAUACGGCCCAGACUCCUACGGGAGGCAGCAGUGGGGAAUAUUGCACAAUGGGCGGAAGCCUGAUGCAGCAACGCCGCGUGCGGGAUGACGGCCUUCGGGUUGUAAACCGCUUUCGCCUGUGACGAAGCGUGAGUGACGGUAAUGGGUAAAGAAGCACCGGCUAACUACGUGCCAGCAGCCGCGGUGAUACGUAGGGUGCGAGCGUUGUCCGGAUUUAUUGGGCGUAAAGGGCUCGUAGGUGGUUGAUCGCGUCGGAAGUGUAAUCUUGGGGCUUAACCCUGAGCGUGCUUUCGAUACGGGUUGACUUGAGGAAGGUAGGGGAGAAUGGAAUUCCUGGUGGAGCGGUGGAAUGCGCAGAUAUCAGGAGGAACACCAGUGGCGAAGGCGGUUCUCUGGGCCUUUCCUGACGCUGAGGAGCGAAAGCGUGGGGAGCGAACAGGCUUAGAUACCCUGGUAGUCCACGCUGUAAACGGUGGGUACUAGGUGUGGGGUCCAUUCCACGGGUUCCGUGCCGUAGCUAACGCUUUAAGUACCCCGCCUGGGGAGUACGGCCGCAAGGCUAAAACUCAAAGGAAUUGACGGCGGCCCCGCACAAGCGGCGGAGCAUGCGGAUUAAUUCCGAUGCAACGCGUAAAACCUUACCUGGGUUUGACAUGGAUCGGGAGUGCUCAAAGAUGGG